GUGGCAAAUUGAAGGAUGGAAUAAUAAAUAAAAAAAUCAGUAACAUACAAUAUGACUCUUUAAUAUGAUACUUUAAUUUUAAGGGGUGUGUGUGGCCCCAUUUACACAACUAAAAUGUAAUUUAGAACAAGAACAAUGUUUCCUUUGUAGACUGACUGGUAUCUAAACACAUUGAUUGUAGUUUAAAGUCACAUUACUGUAAGUAUUAUUGCUUUGGAGCUCUA
Non-coding RNA from Pelobates cultripes (western spadefoot toad), 224 nucleotides. NCBI's taxonomy places the organism in Eukaryota, Metazoa, Chordata, Amphibia, Anura, Pelobatidae. The record is from the annotation of a GenBank genome assembly.